GCCGAUAUAGCACAACGGUAGUGCAGAUGCGUCGUAAGCAUAAGGUUGUAGGUUCAAAUCCUAUUAUCGGCU
RNAcentral lists this transfer RNA (72 nucleotides) under Clostridium porci. RNAcentral's name for it is "Clostridium sp. WCA-389-WT-23D1 tRNA-Thr". It matches the Rfam family "tRNA". From Rfam's summary of the family: Transfer RNA (tRNA) molecules are approximately 80 nucleotides in length. Their secondary structure includes four short double-helical elements and three loops (D, anti-codon, and T loops). Further hydrogen bonds mediate the characteristic L-shaped molecular structure. tRNAs have two regions of fundamental functional importance: the anti-codon, which is responsible for specific mRNA codon recognition, and the 3' end, to which the tRNAs corresponding amino acid is attached (by aminoacyl-tRNA synthetases). tRNAs cope with the degeneracy of the genetic code in two manners: having more than one tRNA (with a specific anti-codon) for a particular amino acid; and 'wobble' base-pairing, i.e. permitting non-standard base-pairing at the 3rd anti-codon position. Lineage: Bacteria; Bacillati; Bacillota; Clostridia; Eubacteriales; Clostridiaceae. The record is from RNAcentral.